Molecule: ribosomal RNA, 430 nt
Filed under: uncultured bacterium
Lineage: Bacteria
Description: bacterial SSU rRNA
Rfam family: Bacterial small subunit ribosomal RNA
Source: RNAcentral
UGGGGAAUAUUGCGCAAUGGACGAAAGUCUGACGCAGCAACGCCGCGUGAGUGAUGAAGGCCUUCGGGUUGUAAAGCUCUUUCGGCUGGGAAGAAGGGUGAACAAGCUAAUAAUUUGUUCAUUUGAUGGUACCAGAGUAAGAAGCACCGGCUAACUUCGUGCCAGCAGCCGCGGUAAUACGAAGGGUGCAAGCGUUGUUCGGAAUUAUUGGGCGUAAAGGGUUCGUAGGCGGAACCGUAAGUCAAGUGUGAAAUCCCCGAGCUUAACUUGGGACGUGCACUUGAAACUGCGAUUCUUGAGUAUUGGAGAGGGUAAUGGAAUUGUUGGUGUAGGAGUGACAUCCGUAGAGAUCAACAGGAACACCAGAGGCGAAGGCGAUUACCUGGCCGAAGACUGACGCUGAGGAACGAAAGUGCGGGGAGCAAACAGG